GGUGGCUGCAUGGCGUGUCGUCAGCUCGUGUCGUGAGAUGUUGGGUUAAGGUCCCGCAACGAGCGCAACCCCUCGCAUUCAGUUGCCAUCGGGUAAUGCCGGGCACUCUGGAAGGACUGCCAUCGACAAGAUGGAGGAAGGUGGGGGAUGACGUCAAGUCAUCGUGGCCCUUAUGUCCAGGGCGACACACGUGCUACAAUGGCCGGCACAACGGGAAGCGAGUUCGCGAGGACGAGCGGAUCCCUCAAAGCCGGUCGCAGUUCGGAUUGAAGUCUGCAACUCGACUUCAUGAAGCUGGAAUCGCUAGUAAUCGUGGAUCAGCCAAGCCGCGGUGAAUACGUUCCCGGGCCUU
Molecule: ribosomal RNA, 352 nt
Filed under: uncultured Synergistaceae bacterium
Lineage: Bacteria; Thermotogati; Synergistota; Synergistia; Synergistales; Synergistaceae
Description: bacterial SSU rRNA
Rfam family: Bacterial small subunit ribosomal RNA
Source: RNAcentral